RNAcentral lists this ribosomal RNA (996 nucleotides) under Microtrichalus sp. A00356. RNAcentral's name for it is "SSU rRNA". It matches the Rfam family "Eukaryotic small subunit ribosomal RNA", at positions 394 to 1344 of the family's 1831-position model. The record is from RNAcentral. Lineage: Eukaryota; Metazoa; Arthropoda; Insecta; Coleoptera; Lycidae.
GCCUGAGAAACGGCUACCACAUCCAAGGAAGGCAGCAGGCGCGCAAAUUACCCACUCCCGGCACGGGGAGGUAGUGACGAAAAAUAACGAUACGGGACUCAUCCGAGGCCCCGUAAUCGGAAUGAGAACAAUUUAAAUCCUUUAACGAGGAUCAAUUGGAGGGCAAGUCUGGUGCCAGCAGCCGCGGUAAUUCCAGCUCCAAUAGCGUAUAUUAAAGUUGUUGCGGUUAAAAAGCUCGUAGUCGAAUCUGUGUCCCGCGCCGCCGGUUCGUCGCUCGCGGCGUUUAACUGGCGUGUCCGCGGGACGUCCUGCCGGUGGGCUUAGCCUUUUCAUUAAGGCGGCCCAAUCUUAAUCCCGCCGCGGUGCUCUUCACCGAGUGUCGAGGCGGGCCGGCACGUUUACUUUGAACAAAUUAGAGUGCUUAAAGCAGGCUAAAACUUCGCCUGAAUACUUCGUGCAUGGAAUAAUGGAAUAGGACCUCGGUUCUAUUUUGUUGGUUUUCGGAACCCCGAGGUAAUGAUUAAUAGGAACGGAUGGGGGCAUUCGUAUUGCGACGUUAGAGGUGAAAUUCUUGGAUCGUCGCAAGACGGACAGAAGCGAAAGCAUUUGCCAAAAACGUUUUCAUCGAUCAAGAACGAAAGUUAGAGGUUCGAAGGCGAUCAGAUACCGCCCUAGUUCUAACCAUAAACNAUGCCAGCUAGCGAUCCGCCGANGUUNCUNCNAUGACUCGGCGGGCAGCUUCCGGGAAACCAAAGCUUUUGGGUUCCGGGGGAAGUAUGGUUGCAAAGCUGAAACUUAAAGGAAUUGACGGAAGGGCACCACCAGGAGUGGAGCCUGCGGCUUAAUUUGACUCAACACGGGAAACCUCACCAGGCCCGGACACCGGAAGGAUUGACAGAUUGAGAGCUCUUUCUUGAUUCGGUGGGUGGUGGUGCAUGGCCGUUCUUAGUUGGUGGAGCGAUUUGUCUGGUUAAUUCCGAUAACGAACGAGACUCA